GGUACCCCCCCCCCCCCCCCCACCCCCACCCCGUGCAGGUUAGUGGUGGAAUCUAGAUAAUUCCUGUGAAUUUAGGGAGAAAACAAUCACAAUCACGGGCGGAAAUCUCCCAUGUUUUGGGAGGUGGGCGAUAAUUCCCCCCAUGUUUUGUAACCCGGAUUUUAAAAUUGGGUGAAAAACAUUUUAAUUACAAAUUUCCGCGUGACGGGGUGGGGGACUGAUGGUCGAGGGCACCGAUUGGACGAGAGAGACGUCGGUCAGCAAGCAGUGGGGGUAGGACAUGAUGAUUCAGCGCGAUGAUUGAAGUAGGGAGGCGUCAGUCAGAGGCGAAGUAGGAGGGUGGGACUGAGGGAGACGUCCUUGUGGUGCAAAUAUCAUAGUGCGGAGUUUGAUCCGGCCCUUCCGCGGGGCCUUUCAUCGCCAGGCGCCGCUUAAAAUCGGCCGCGGGAUCUUCCAUCGCCGCACGGUGCGAUGAAAGGCCCCGCCAACGAGCCGAGUGAAGCCCACGAUUCGGGGCGGACGAAGCUGCUGUUGCUGGAGUUCGGAGUCGGUCAACAACCAGAACAUUUAUUCGUCAGGCAUUAAACAAGGGUCUGAAGAAGGGUCUCGACCCGAAGCGUCACAUGUUCCUCUUCUCCAGAGAAGCUGUCUGAUCCGCCGAGUUACAACCGUUUAUUUUUUAUCUAUCUUCGGUUUAAACCAGUAUCUGCAGUUCCUUCCUACACAUGAAAAAUAACGUGGCGGCGGGAGAAGUACCUACUAUUUCGGAAAUCCCAAGAAAGUGGACAGUAAUCUUUGCUCCGCAGCCGAACUGGUUGAAGGAAAAUUGCCGAAAACAUAUUGCUCAGGUAAACACGGGAGGUUGACAACAUAUUAAAAUGUAUCUCCGGUUAAA
Leucoraja erinaceus (little skate) is the source of this 895-nucleotide long non-coding RNA. RefSeq lists it as uncharacterized. Lineage: Eukaryota; Metazoa; Chordata; Chondrichthyes; Rajiformes; Rajidae. The transcript is spliced from 2 exons. The record is from RefSeq and is a predicted model, not a curated record.